AGCUCCAAGAGCGUAUAUUAAAGUUGUUGCAGUUAAAAGCUCGUAGUUGGAUUUCUGGUACAAUGCGCCUGGCCCGCAGCAAUAGCUUGUGGGUGCCGGUGCGCUUUUGCCAUCCUUCUAGAAAACGUUUCUGCCAUUAUGUGGUCGGAUUCGCGAUCUAGAUCUUUUACUUUGAAAAAUUAGAGUGUUUAAAGCAGGCAUUUGCUAUGAAUACAUUAGCAUGGAAUAAUAAUCUAGGACUUUCGGUUCUAUUUUGUUGGUUUCUAGAAUUGAAGUAAUGAUUGAUAGGGAUAGUUGGGGGUGCUAGUAUUGGCCGGCCAGAGGUGAAAUUCUUGGAUUCGGUCAAGACUAACUUAUGCGAAAGCAUUCACCAAGGAUGUCUUCU
Molecule: ribosomal RNA, 385 nt
Filed under: uncultured eukaryote
Lineage: Eukaryota
Description: SSU rRNA
Rfam family: Eukaryotic small subunit ribosomal RNA
Source: RNAcentral